UAGUUACCGAAGAUGGUGUAUGACUACUAUGCAUCUGGUGCAGAGAACCAAUGGACAUUGCAGGAGAAUAGGAAUGCAUUCUCCAGGAUCCUGUUUCGUCCUCGCAUUCUUAUCGAUGUAAGCAAUAUCGACAUGAAUACAACUGUUCUGGGAUUCAAGAUAUCAAUGCCCAUCAUGCUUGCCCCACAGCCAUG
Hibiscus syriacus is the source of this 194-nucleotide long non-coding RNA. RefSeq lists it as uncharacterized. NCBI's taxonomy places the organism in Eukaryota, Viridiplantae, Streptophyta, Magnoliopsida, Malvales, Malvaceae. The transcript is spliced from 2 exons. The record is from RefSeq and is a predicted model, not a curated record.